This 212-nucleotide long non-coding RNA is filed under the name Physcomitrium patens. RNAcentral describes it as "long non-coding RNA (PPAT_LNC014101)". Lineage: Eukaryota; Viridiplantae; Streptophyta; Bryopsida; Funariales; Funariaceae. The record is from RNAcentral.
AGCGGUGAGCCUCUUGGUUGCACCCCGCGCGGCAUCAUUGUAUCAAGCAGGUUUUUUUGUUUUUUUAUUUUUUUUGCUUUUGCAAACUCGGUUAAUUCCUAUGCCACAAUGCCAUGAAUUUGUUUCAGAAACCCUCGGUCGUCAACUCCUAUUUGGAAUGUGAUCGGCACUGCCACAGAGAAUUCUCAAUAAGAAGAAUGUCGCAUAUGCUC